Molecule: ribosomal RNA, 490 nt
Filed under: uncultured bacterium
Lineage: Bacteria
Description: partial 16S ribosomal RNA
Rfam family: Bacterial small subunit ribosomal RNA
Source: RNAcentral
AGUGAACGCUGGCGGUAGGCCUAACACAUGCAAGUCGAACGGCAGGACGGGAGAGCUUGCCCUCUGGGUGUAGAGUCGCGGACGGGUGAGGAACAUAUCUGAAUCACCUCAGUCGCGGGGGACAACUCAGGGAACCGUACGCUAAUACCGCAUACGACCUUCGCGUGAAAGUGCGGGAUCGCAAGACCUCUUUCGAGUGGAUGAGACCUUGUUCGAUUAGCUAGUUGGCGGGGUAAAGGCCCACCAAGGCGACGAUCCGUAGCCGGUCUGAGAGGAUGAUCAGCCACACUGGAACUGAGACACGGUCCAGACUCCUACGGGAGGCAGCAGUGGGGAAUCUUGGGCAAUGGGCGCAAGCCUGAUCCAGCCAUACCGCGUGGGUGAAGAAGGCCUUCGGGUUGUAAAGCCCUUUUGUUGGGAAAGAACUAUUGCAGGCUAAAAUCUGGAGAGGAUGACGGUACCCAAAGAAUAAGCACCGGCUAACUACGUG